UUCCUGGUGGUCCAGUGGUUAAGACUUUGCCCUUCCAAUGGAGGGGGUGCAGGUUCGAUCCCUGCUUGGGGAA
Bos taurus (domestic cattle) is the source of this 73-nucleotide non-coding RNA. NCBI's taxonomy places the organism in Eukaryota, Metazoa, Chordata, Mammalia, Artiodactyla, Bovidae. The record is from Rfam.